AUUUACUUCAAGUCUUUAUGCUCAGAUAGGCUAGCGGUGGGUGCGUCAGACAGAGUUACGGCACGCACAGAGAUGAAGGGGUAUGUAUGCACUUAUCUAACUCUGGGGGUUACUGUGAAUGAGCUAAAAUCCCAAAAAGUCAGCGUGUUCCUUUAAGUUUCCAUAUGUCCAUUAGAAAAUUAAAGGGAUAGUUCACCCAAAAAUGAAAAAUAAUGUCAUUAAGGACUCACCCUCAUGUCGUUCCAAACUUGUAAGACCUCCGAUGUUUUAUGUUUAGUCCGAGAGCUUUCUGACCCUACAUUGAAAAUCUAUGCACGGUAUACUGUCCAUGUCCAGAAAGAUAAUAAAAAACAUAAUCAAAGUUGCCAUUUGACAUCAAUGGGUCAGUUAGAAUGUGUUGAAGCAUCCAAAAAACAUCUUGGUCCAAAAAUGACAAAUUUAUUCAGCAUUCUCUUCCAUGUCUAUUGUGUAGCGCAUGUGUCUGACUAAAGUCUUGUGACGCAGAUGGCGUGUUAUCCUCAGAUAUGUUUGUGAAUUUUUUUCACAUUUACAGCAUUCGUCUCCCUCAGACUGUAAACAAAGCUCGGGCGCACAAAAAAAAGCGGGGACGCACCUAAUAACACAUCAGCCACGUUGUACGUCAGCUGCGUCACUGCAGUCAUGUGACUUUAGUCUCGUGCGCGUUCAAAACAGAACCGGAAGAGAAGACAAUGCUGAAUGAUGUCGUAAUUUUGUUAUUUUUGGACCAAAAUGUAUUUUCGAUGCUUCAACACAUUUUAACUGACCCACUGAUGUCAAAUGGCUACUUUGAUGAUGUUUUUUUAUUACCUCUCUGUUCCUGGACAGUAUACUGUGCAUAGAUUUUCAAUGGAGGGUCAGAAAGCUCUCAGACUAAAUCUAAAAUAUCUUAAACUGUGUUUCGAAGAUGAACGGAGGUCUUACCCUCAUGUCGUUCCAAACUCGUGAGUCAUUAAUUACAUUAUUUUCAUUUUUGGGUGAACUCUCCCUUUAAUUACAUGCUCAUACUUUAAUUAUGCCUGAUAAGAAUUUGUAAUAUUUGUGUUUAAACAUUUUUCGAAUUUUAAUCCUUGUUUUUAAAUGGCCAUGACAGUGACAAAAAGGAAGCAGCCUUCUCUAGCCCACCCAAGUUUCCAUCAAAGGAGCAAGCCUAUGUCAGUAAGAAGAAAGCUGGCUAACCCUCCCACCCCUUGUUUAACUCCUCCAGCCCAUCCCACAUCAUUGUAGAGUGAAGAGACUGCGGUUAAUAUUCAGAAAGAGGCGCAGAGAACUGAAGGCUUUCCUGACUUGACACCGAAUAAUAACAGAGGCCUGUGUGCUUUGCAGCAGCCUCCACGUCACCCUCUUCCAGUGCUCCGUCAGAGGACUAAUGAUAUGCCACAAGAUGAUUGGCAGCAAGACACACCCAGUGAUGAAGGGAUGUGCUCUCCUUAAAUCACAGCCUAUUCAUCAGGUACUCCUGAGUGCUGUGUUAAGAAAUCCUGCCUACAAAGUUCCACUGAGGCUGAUAUAAAGAUGACUGUGAGAAACUGGCUGCGGCUGUCUGAGCAGAGACAGGAAUGGGGGCAGCAAAGGCGGGACAAGCAAGCAUCUUAAGUGAAAUAAUUGAUUGGACUGAUUCUGGAGUAUGACUUAUUCUGGAGGGAAUUUCUUAUUUUUGUUGCAGUUUGCUAUGGGACGGUUUCAAGGACAGGGAUUAGACUAGUUCUAGACUAAAAUAAAUGUAAGAGCUGUCCAAACUGAAAACAACUUGCACUGACAUAUCAUAAAAUACAUCAGUGUAUUUUGUGAUGCUUCAAAAUGCACACAAGUAAUGUUUUUAUUAAGACAUGUUAUUAAAACUAGUUAUAUUUCAGAAUUAAACUAAGGCCUAGUCCCGGUUUAAGAUAAUCCCUGUCCGGGAAACCACCCCAAAGUGUAAUUUGUGGAGUGUUAAAAUAAAUGAAACUGCCUUUGCAAAAACAAAGUAAAAAAAAAAUUCCAGAUGCCCUUCUGUUUUGUUAUUUCUCCUGGAAAACUCACUGAUCCAUUUUUUUCUGUUAGACUGACAUUUACCAGGUUGUCAUAUUGUGUAUGAAAUACACCCUACACAUAACAAUCACUUACUUUCAAUUUAAACUUUUUUUGUCAUAAAACCUGGCAACUCAAAAGGAAGCGGCUGCAGACUGCGCAGCCACGGACGGAGUCUUGCAUGCAAGUGGGCUAGUUGCCUACUUCUCCACUAGCUCUUGUCAAAUUGUUAGGGAAGAAAUUUUAUGAUUAACACAACAUAAACUGUUAUUGAGGGUUGAUUGUUGUUGAUACACAAUAUGAAAUGAGUUAGCCUGCAGGGGUCUCCAACAUUGUGAGCAAGGGCUACAACAAUAUGUAUAAAACAAUCUGGAGGGCUACUUUUUUAUUUAUUCUACUCAAAACUUUUUUGUUUUACUUACUGAUUUUAUUUUAUUUUACUUUUUGAUAUGUUUUAGUAUUGUUUAACAUGUUAACAUACGUAAAC
Molecule: non-coding RNA, 2515 nt
Organism: Misgurnus anguillicaudatus (oriental weatherfish)
Lineage: Eukaryota; Metazoa; Chordata; Actinopteri; Cypriniformes; Cobitidae
Source: RefSeq, a predicted model, not a curated record